GGGAGCACCCUGGACAGGACACCAGUCUGUCGCAUGGCCACACAUAGACAAGGAAAUACAUUCACACCCGCAUGCACACCUACAGGCAAUUUAAAGUUUCCAGUCCACCUAACCUGCAUGUCUUUGAAUGUGGGAGGAAGCCGGUGCACCUGGAGAGAACCAACGCAAACAUGGGGA
Long non-coding RNA from Thalassophryne amazonica, 177 nucleotides. RefSeq lists it as uncharacterized. Lineage: Eukaryota; Metazoa; Chordata; Actinopteri; Batrachoidiformes; Batrachoididae. The record is from RefSeq and is a predicted model, not a curated record. The transcript has 2 exons.